CGCACAGUAAACGAUGACAACUGGCUGUCGGCGAUAUACCGAUCGGUAGCGAAGCGAAAGCGUUAAGUUGUCCACCUGGGGAGUACGACCGCAAGGUUGAAACUCAAAGGAAUUGACGGG
Molecule: ribosomal RNA, 120 nt
Filed under: uncultured bacterium
Lineage: Bacteria
Description: partial 16S ribosomal RNA
Rfam family: Bacterial small subunit ribosomal RNA
Source: RNAcentral